This 72-nucleotide transfer RNA is filed under the name Schistocerca americana (American grasshopper). Its description in RNAcentral is "tRNA-Thr". It matches the Rfam family "tRNA". Rfam says of the family: Transfer RNA (tRNA) molecules are approximately 80 nucleotides in length. Their secondary structure includes four short double-helical elements and three loops (D, anti-codon, and T loops). Lineage: Eukaryota; Metazoa; Arthropoda; Insecta; Orthoptera; Acrididae. The record is from RNAcentral.
GCCUCCUUAGCUCAGAGGCAGAGCACUGGUCUUGUAAACCAGGGGUCGUCAGUUCGAUUCUCACAGGGGGCA